RNAcentral lists this ribosomal RNA (253 nucleotides) under uncultured bacterium. RNAcentral's name for it is "partial 16S ribosomal RNA". It matches the Rfam family "Archaeal small subunit ribosomal RNA", at positions 474 to 727 of the family's 1478-position model. The record is from RNAcentral.
UACCAGCUCCCCGAGUGGUCGGGACGUUUAUUGGGCCUAAAGCAUCCGUAGCCGGUUCUACAAGUCUUCCGUUAAAUCCACCUGCUUAACAGAUGGGCUGCGGAAGAUACUAUAGAGCUAGGAGGCGGGAGAGGCAAGCGGUACUCGAUGGGUAGGGGUAAAAUCCGUUGAUCCAUUGAAGACCACCAGUGGCGAAGGCGGCUUGCCAGAACGCGCUCGACGGUGAGGGAUGAAAGCUGGGGGAGCAAACCGG